This 807-nucleotide ribosomal RNA is filed under the name Bacteroidetes bacterium SCGC AAA015-O21. RNAcentral's name for it is "SSU rRNA". It matches the Rfam family "Bacterial small subunit ribosomal RNA", at positions 56 to 862 of the family's 1533-position model. The record is from RNAcentral. Lineage: Bacteria; Pseudomonadati; Bacteroidota.
UGCAGUCGAGGGGUAACAGGAAGUGCUUGCACUUCGCUGACGACCGGCGCACGGGUGAGUAUCGCGUAUACAAUCUACCUCAUACUAGGGAAUAGCCCGAAGAAAUUUGGAUUAAUGCCCUAUAGUAUCUUUUUAAGGCAUCUUAUUAAGAUUAAAGGUUACGGUAUGAGAUGAGUAUGCGUUCUAUUAGCUAGUAGGUGUGGUAACGGCACACCUAGGCUACGAUAGAUAGGGGCCCUGAGAGGGGGAUCCCCCACACUGGUACUGAGACACGGACCAGACUCCUACGGGAGGCAGCAGUAAGGAAUAUUGGACAAUGGGCGAAAGCCUGAUCCAGCCAUGCCGCGUGCAGGAUGACUGCCCUAUGGGUUGUAAACUGCUUUUAUAUAGGAAGAAAAAUUUUCUCGUGAGAAAACUUGACGGUACUAUAAGAAUAAGGAUCGGCUAACUCCGUGCCAGCAGCCGCGGUAAUACGGAGGAUCCAAGCGUUAUCCGGAAUCAUUGGGUUUAAAGGGUCCGUAGGUGGACAAAUAAGUCAGAGGUGAAAUCCUGCAGCUCAACUGUAGAACUGCCUUUGAUACUGUUUGUCUUGAGUUAUUAUGAAGUGGUUAGAAUGUGUAGUGUAGCGGUGAAAUGCAUAGAUAUUACACAGAAUACCGAUUGCGAAGGCAGAUCACUAAUAAUUAACUGACACUGAGGGACGAAAGCGUGGGUAGCGAACAGGAUUAGAUACCCUGGUAGUCCACGCCGUAAACGAUGGUCACUAGCUGUUUGGACUUCGGUCUGAGUGGCUAAGCGAAAGUGAUA